UCGGUGCCGCAGCUAACGCAUUAAGUACUCCGCCUGGGAAGUACGCUCGCAAGAGUGAAACUCAAAGGAAUUGCCGGGGACCCGCACAAGUAGCGGAGCAUGUGGUUUAAUUCGAAGCAACGCGAAGAACCUUACCUAAGCUUGACAUCCCAAUGACAUCUCCUUAAUCGGAGAGUUCCCUUCGGGGACAUUGGUGACAGG
RNAcentral lists this ribosomal RNA (201 nucleotides) under Clostridioides difficile. RNAcentral describes it as "partial 16S ribosomal RNA". It matches the Rfam family "Bacterial small subunit ribosomal RNA", at positions 840 to 1038 of the family's 1533-position model. Lineage: Bacteria; Bacillati; Bacillota; Clostridia; Peptostreptococcales; Peptostreptococcaceae. The record is from RNAcentral.